GACGAACGCUGGCGGCGUGCUUAACACAUGCAAGUCGAACGGUGAAGCACCUUCCUUUUGGUGGGUGUGGAUGAGUGGCGAACGGGUGAGUAACACGUGAGUAACCUGCCCCCUUCUUCUGGAUAACCGCAUGAAAGUGUGUCUAAUCCGGGAUAUUCUGUGCCUGCUGCAUGGUGGGUGUGGGAAAGAUGUGCUUUUGGGUUUUUUUGGUGUGGGAUGGGCUCGCGGGCUAUCAGCUUGUUGGUGGGGUGAUGGCCUACCAAGGAGGUGAAGGGUAGCCGAGAGGGGGGGGGGGCAGGUCAGAAGGGGAAUGAGACACAGACGAGAAAGGGAGGCGAGGGAGGAGUGGGGAAUGUAACAGGAGGGGGGCAAGCGGGAUGAAGCGACGCGGGGGGAGAGGUGGAGGGGUUCGGGUUGUAAACCUAUUACGGAAGAAAAGAAGGCCUGGCAAUUGUGGGUGGGUUGACGGUAGCUGGAUAAGAAGCGCCGGCUAACUACGUG
This 501-nucleotide ribosomal RNA is filed under the name uncultured bacterium. Its description in RNAcentral is "partial 16S ribosomal RNA". It matches the Rfam family "Bacterial small subunit ribosomal RNA", at positions 28 to 507 of the family's 1533-position model. The record is from RNAcentral.